GGUUAAGCGACUAAGCGUACACGGUGGAUGCCCUGGCAGUCAGAGGCGAUGAAGGACGUGCUAAUCUGCGAUAAGCGUCGGUAAGGUGAUAUGAACCGUUAUAACCGGCGAUUUCCGAAUGGGGAAACCCAGUGUGAUUCGUCACACUAUCAUUAACUGAAUCCAUAGGUUAAUGAGGCGAACCGGGGGAACUGAAACAUCUAAGUACCCCGAGGAAAAGAAAUCAACCGAGAUUCCCCCAGUAGCGGCGAGCGAACGGGGAGCAGCCCAGAGCCUGAAUCAGUGUGUGUGUUAGUGGAAGCGUCUGGAAAGGCGCGCGAUACAGGGUGACAGCCCCGUACACAAAAAUGCACAUGCUGUGAGCUCGAUGAGUAGGGCGGGACACGUGGUAUCCUGUCUGAAUAUGGGGGGACCAUCCUCCAAGGCUAAAUACUCCUGACUGACCGAUAGUGAACCAGUACCGUGAGGGAAAGGCGAAAAGAACCCCGGCGAGGGGAGUGAAAAAGAACCUGAAACCGUGUACGUACAAGCAGUGGGAGCCUCUUUAUGGGGUGACUGCGUACCUUUUGUAUAAUGGGUCAGCGACUUAUAUUCUGUAGCAAGGUUAACCGAAUAGGGGAGCCGAAGGGAAACCGAGUCUUAACUGGGCGUUAAGUUGCAGGGUAUAGACCCGAAACCCGGUGAUCUAGCCAUGGGCAGGUUGAAGGUUGGGUAACACUAACUGGAGGACCGAACCGACUAAUGUUGAAAAAUUAGCGGAUGACUUGUGGCUGGGGGUGAAAGGCCAAUCAAACCGGGAGAUAGCUGGUUCUCCCCGAAAGCUAUUUAGGUAGCGCCUCGUGAAUUCAUCUCCGGGGGUAGAGCACUGUUUCGGCAAGGGGGUCAUCCCGACUUACCAACCCGAUGCAAACUGCGAAUACCGGAGAAUGUUAUCACGGGAGACACACGGCGGGUGCUAACGUCCGUCGUGAAGAGGGAAACAACCCAGACCGCCAGCUAAGGUCCCAAAGUCAUGGUUAAGUGGGAAACGAUGUGGGAAGGCCCAGACAGCCAGGAUGUUGGCUUAGAAGCAGCCAUCAUUUAAAGAAAGCGUAAUAGCUCACUGGUCGAGUCGGCCUGCGCGGAAGAUGUAACGGGGCUAAACCAUGCACCGAAGCUGCGGCAGCGACACUAUGUGUUGUUGGGUAGGGGAGCGUUCUGUAAGCCUGUGAAGGUGUACUGUGAGGUAUGCUGGAGGUAUCAGAAGUGCGAAUGCUGACAUAAGUAACGAUAAAGCGGGUGAAAAGCCCGCUCGCCGGAAGACCAAGGGUUCCUGUCCAACGUUAAUCGGGGCAGGGUGAGUCGACCCCUAAGGCGAGGCCGAAAGGCGUAGUCGAUGGGAAACAGGUUAAUAUUCCUGUACUUGGUGUUACUGCGAAGGGGGGACGGAGAAGGCUAUGUUGGCCGGGCGACGGUUGUCCCGGUUUAAGCGUGUAGGCUGGUUUUCCAGGCAAAUCCGGAAAAUCAAGGCUGAGGCGUGAUGACGAGGCACUACGGUGCUGAAGCAACAAAUGCCCUGCUUCCAGGAAAAGCCUCUAAGCAUCAGGUAACAUCAAAUCGUACCCCAAACCGACACAGGUGGUCAGGUAGAGAAUACCAAGGCGCUUGAGAGAACUCGGGUGAAGGAACUAGGCAAAAUGGUGCCGUAACUUCGGGAGAAGGCACGCUGAUAUGUAGGUGAAGCGACUUGCUCGUGGAGCUGAAAUCAGUCGAAGAUACCAGCUGGCUGCAACUGUUUAUUAAAAACACAGCACUGUGCAAACACGAAAGUGGACGUAUACGGUGUGACGCCUGCCCGGUGCCGGAAGGUUAAUUGAUGGGGUUAGCGGUAACGCGAAGCUCUUGAUCGAAGCCCCGGUAAACGGCGGCCGUAACUAUAACGGUCCUAAGGUAGCGAAAUUCCUUGUCGGGUAAGUUCCGACCUGCACGAAUGGCGUAAUGAUGGCCAGGCUGUCUCCACCCGAGACUCAGUGAAAUUGAACUCGCUGUGAAGAUGCAGUGUACCCGCGGCAAGACGGAAAGACCCCGUGAACCUUUACUAUAGCUUGACACUGAACAUUGAGCCUUGAUGUGUAGGAUAGGUGGGAGGCUUUGAAGUGUGGACGCCAGUCUGCAUGGAGCCGACCUUGAAAUACCACCCUUUAAUGUUUGAUGUUCUAACGUUGACCCGUGAUCCGGGUUGCGGACAGUGUCUGGUGGGUAGUUUGACUGGGGCGGUCUCCUCCUAAAGAGUAACGGAGGAGCACGAAGGUUGGCUAAUCCUGGUCGGACAUCAGGAGGUUAGUGCAAUGGCAUAAGCCAGCUUGACUGCGAGCGUGACGGCGCGAGCAGGUGCGAAAGCAGGUCAUAGUGAUCCGGUGGUUCUGAAUGGAAGGGCCAUCGCUCAACGGAUAAAAGGUACUCCGGGGAUAACAGGCUGAUACCGCCCAAGAGUUCAUAUCGACGGCGGUGUUUGGCACCUCGAUGUCGGCUCAUCACAUCCUGGGGCUGAAGUAGGUCCCAAGGGUAUGGCUGUUCGCCAUUUAAAGUGGUACGCGAGCUGGGUUUAGAACGUCGUGAGACAGUUCGGUCCCUAUCUGCCGUGGGCGCUGGAGAACUGAGGGGGGCUGCUCCUAGUACGAGAGGACCGGAGUGGACGCAUCACUGGUGUUCGGGUUGUCAUGCCAAUGGCACUGCCCGGUAGCUAAAUGCGGAAGAGAUAAGUGCUGAAAGCAUCUAAGCACGAAACUUGCCCCGAGAUGAGUUCUCCCUGACUCCCUGAGAGUCCUGAAGGAACGUUGAAGACGACGACGUUGAUAGGCCGGGUGUGUAAGCGCAGCGAUGCGUUGAGCUAACCGGUACUAAUGAACCGUGAGGCUUAACCUU
Molecule: ribosomal RNA, 2904 nt
Filed under: Escherichia coli
Lineage: Bacteria; Pseudomonadati; Pseudomonadota; Gammaproteobacteria; Enterobacterales; Enterobacteriaceae
Description: 23S ribosomal RNA
Rfam family: Bacterial large subunit ribosomal RNA
Source: RNAcentral